Molecule: long non-coding RNA, 1290 nt
Filed under: Manacus vitellinus (golden-collared manakin)
Lineage: Eukaryota; Metazoa; Chordata; Aves; Passeriformes; Pipridae
Description: lncRNA (ENSMVIG00005008704.1)
Source: RNAcentral
AUCUGAUGGCACAACCAGAUCUCAGUUAUCCAAAUCCUGCACCUCUAAACAGAAAGAGCUGGAAGGGCCGGGAGAGGAGCCCUGGUGUGGAAAGACUGGAUGAUGUGGCAUCAGGUUUCCUGCACAUCAGGUGCCAGUCAGAGCCUCACCACGGGGGAAACAGCAGCUGAAGAUUUAGGUGAGGAAUAACAACAACGAAGAAAACAAAACAAGAGUGUGAGAAAACCGAGGAGGAGAAAAAAAAAAACAUUUCUCAGCUGCAAAAUACUCAGUAACACUCCCAGUCAGCAUUGGAGUGGUGCAUCCCAAAAUCCUGAGACACUGGGAAGUGAGAGCUUGGAGAAUCCCGAAUCCCUGACUGGGGUUUUGAUUUAUUCUUUGCAGCCAGACAGUGCUCUCUCCCUCUCUCCCUCUCCCUCUCUCCCUCCCUCCCCUCCCUCUCCGGUGUGCGGGCACAGCAGCCACCUCUCCCCCUCCACCAACCAAAGCGGGGGGGAAGGGGGGCUGCUCCUGCAAUAAAAGUGUGGGAAGCUGAUGGCUGCGGAGUAAUGCAGACAAAGCACGAGGGAGAGGGACCCAGAGGGCCGGAGCCCCCGGCGAUGUGACCCACCCCGCGUCCGCAGCCCCCGAGCCGCGUUUGUGCUGCCUCACGGAUAGCUCGGAUAUCGCUGGCUGCGAUAGCCAGCGGGCUCGGGUAUCGCUGGCUGCGAUAGCCAGCGGGCUCGGAGCCCCCCGGGGAUUUCUCCGGCGCUAAUUCGCUCCGCACAAAGCCCAGCCUGCCGGGCUGCUCUCCAGCAGCAACCUUUGCAUCCCUCCAGCUCCCCCCGAGCCGCAGGAGCUGCUCCCCUCCGGCUGCUCCCGAGCCAAUGUCACCUGUGCCCAAUGAAGCAGACCCCGAGGUGCCACGCAUGGAUCCCAGGAUUCUUAUUUUCCUCCUCUACGUGAUGAUCCUUCACGAGCUGGUGAGUGGCUGGAUGGAGUACCAGAAGCAGAUGGCCAAGCCAAAGAAGCAGGCGGGUCCAGUUUGGUCCUCGAGGUUCCCAAUCACCACACCUGGAAGAGAAAAAUGUGGGCAGCAGAGGAGCCACACUUCAUGCAUGAUAUUCAUCAAUGAGGCACAAACCUCCAGAGACUCCUGCAAUCAGAGUAUUUCAUGUUAAAUCACUACUGUGCAUGUCACUAUCUCUCCGUCUCCUCCCACUCUCUGGGCUGUGCCCACUACACCAAUCCCUUGUUUUCUGCCCAACAACAAAAAUGAGCUGGAGAAAUAAGGACAUAAACAAAAAAUGC